Molecule: ribosomal RNA, 250 nt
Filed under: uncultured bacterium
Lineage: Bacteria
Description: partial 16S ribosomal RNA
Rfam family: Bacterial small subunit ribosomal RNA
Source: RNAcentral
AGACACGUGGGUAACCUGCCCUAAAGUCUGGGAUACCACUUGGAAACAGGUGCUAAUACCGGAUAACAACAAUAGCUGCAUGGCUAUUGCUUAAAAGGCGGCGAAAGCUGUCGCUAAAGGAUGGACCCGCGGUGCAUUAGCUAGUUGGUAAGGUAAUGGCUUACCAAGGCGACGAUGCAUAGCCGAGUUGAGAGACUGAUCGGCCACAUUGGGACUGAGACACGGCCCAAACUCCUACGGAAGGCAGCAG